RNAcentral lists this transfer RNA (89 nucleotides) under Acholeplasma sp. Its description in RNAcentral is "tRNA-Ser". It matches the Rfam family "tRNA". From Rfam's summary of the family: Transfer RNA (tRNA) molecules are approximately 80 nucleotides in length. Their secondary structure includes four short double-helical elements and three loops (D, anti-codon, and T loops). Lineage: Bacteria; Bacillati; Mycoplasmatota; Mollicutes; Acholeplasmatales; Acholeplasmataceae. The record is from RNAcentral. RNAcentral also lists the same sequence under 2 other names.
GGAGAAAUACUCAAGAGGCUGAAGAGGCGGGCUUGGAAAGCUCGUAGGGUGUAAAAGCCGCGAGGGUUCAAAUCCCUCUUUCUCCGCCA